Lolium rigidum is the source of this 1408-nucleotide long non-coding RNA. RefSeq lists it as uncharacterized. NCBI's taxonomy places the organism in Eukaryota, Viridiplantae, Streptophyta, Magnoliopsida, Poales, Poaceae. The record is from RefSeq and is a predicted model, not a curated record. The transcript has 6 exons.
CCGGGAGAAGCCGAGAGAAGCUGCAGAGGCGGAGGCAGGCGUGGUCGUCGGCGUGGCUCCGACCACGGAUUGAUAUAAGUCUUGGUUGAUGUGGCUCUGCCUUUUGAUUCUCUUAUUUCUCCCCUUUCUCCAUUCCAUAUCUGAAUCCUCUUUCCUCUCCUUUUGUGCGGCGACCAAUACUGGGAGGGGAAUGACGAAUCAAACAUAGAAGAGGCUUGGACGAAAAAAGAUAUUCUUAUGUCACUGGCGAUUGAUGUUACAGUAAUAAGACAAUUGAUGUUCUCUGUGGCUUGCUGCUGAUUCUUGCAUUUUGGACAAGGAUCUGAGUGAGGAAAGUUACAAGAAGAAGAUCUGUAGGAGCAUGGCAACCAUGACCAAAAGGGUGAUUUUGAUGCACACGUAUUUGAUGAAAUGCAGAUUCCUAUCUAGGUGUUCAGAUUCAGCAAGGGGAAUCAUUCAGGUUUGAUCAGUUACCAGAAGGUCUACGUCUUACCAGAUUUAGAGUCCUCAAAAUGUGAUGUAUUCAUUCGAAGUGAAAAUUGCUGCUGGAGCUUGUGUUGCUUACUUUCACCAUGGGUUCUCGCCGGUCCUGAAGAGGGUCUUGACCCACAGCACAAAGACGACCUUGCCAUCGGCAUGAACCAAGCCCAGCGACUGUGUCAGAAGAAUAAUGAAGAUCCAAAAUUCUUCAGAUUUAGGGGAUUGUAAAUUCCCGACGUACCAAGAACAGUAGCAGUGAGUGACAUAGGUUGCUAAACAAAUGCCGUGCCUUGCAAUUCCUGAAUAUAGAGGUUUACAAGAGAAUAUAUGUGGUACAUGCGGCGUUCUUGCGGAUACAGAUUGAAGAACUUUAUAAUAUAUAGCUUGGAUUGGAGGAAAAUUGUUUGUAUGUCAGAAGUACAUGCGGCCUUUGAUUCACCAUUUUCCCUAAGCUAAACCAAACUGAGGGAGAUCUGAGGGGAAGAAAAAAGAUGCACCUGAUUUUGAUGCCGACCUGGUACAACAGCACGCCGGCGAGGUCGAAAGCCCUCAACCAUUGUCGCCAGCGAUCCAGUCUUGCUGCGGUCAAGGCGCUAUGUGAUGCAGGGAGGGCGGUUGAGCAGUCAGCAACAUCAAUUGGUGAAGAUAUGUGAAGAAUCAGGAGAUGUUUGACCAUCGACGGAUGGAAGGGGAUAAGAGGAGAAAGUAAGACAUGAGGCAGACAGAGCUAAAAUGGCUAUGGAGGCAGUGAGAUAAGUUCUACGGGUGUGGUGUGCGUGUGACCCUGUGUCACCUGUGUGUGCGUCGGUGGUCUGAGCAGGGCCCAAUAGUGAAUUUCAUAAAACAGUUGUGAGGUCCUGUGUGUCAUGUUGAUUUGUGCACAUGAUAUUCUUUAUUUUUUCAUUCUAUCACCAACCAGUAAAAUCCA